This 639-nucleotide unclassified non-coding RNA is filed under the name Bradyrhizobium sp. RNAcentral describes it as "partial 16S-23S ribosomal RNA intergenic spacer". The stretch from base 518 to 639 matches the Rfam family "Bacterial large subunit ribosomal RNA", at positions 1 to 121 of the family's 2925-position model. RNAcentral also lists the same sequence under 1 other name. The record is from RNAcentral. Lineage: Bacteria; Pseudomonadati; Pseudomonadota; Alphaproteobacteria; Hyphomicrobiales; Nitrobacteraceae.
CGGAGUUCAGUCUUCCCAGGCCCACCACUUUCAUCGAGUGAGCAUUCGUCUUCUGGUUACGGGGCCAUAGCUCAGCUGGGAGAGCGCGUGCUUUGCAAGCAUGAGGUCGUCGGUUCGAUCCCGUCUGGCUCCACCAGAUGGUUUGAUCACCGAGAUCUUGACCGUCGUCCGCGAAACAUCACUUCGCAUCCUGCUAGUCUGGAUAGACAGCAGUUUGCGUGUUUUCUGACAUCGUAAAGAGGAGAUCGAUCCGAGUUGGGUCGUGCAGCAUAUCGUUGCGCGAGCCUUCAUUAUCUCCGGAUCAUUUCGGCGCUCGCUUCCAGCCGUGAGGUUGGAUGCGGGUUGUAAAUGAUCCUUUUAGCGAAGCUUGACCGCCUCGCUAUCGGAACGAUCUUACGAAGCAAGCUGGUCUUUCUAGUCAAUGUCCGGCUGCGGAUAGCGUUCAUCGAGGGCGCGUGCCGCAAGGCAAUUCUGCAGACAACAUUCUGCCGAGUGUGUGGACAUUGAUAAUGAGAGCAAUCAAGUGCCUUAAGGGUGUUCGGUGGAUGCCUUGGCGCUGAGAGGCGAUGAAGGACGUGCUACGCUGCGAUAAGCCGUGGGGAGCUGCGAAGAAGCUUUGAUCCGCGGAUUUCCGAAUGG